Molecule: transfer RNA, 83 nt
Filed under: Rhodoferax saidenbachensis
Lineage: Bacteria; Pseudomonadati; Pseudomonadota; Betaproteobacteria; Burkholderiales; Comamonadaceae
Also listed under: 1 other name
Description: tRNA-Leu
Rfam family: tRNA
About the family: Transfer RNA (tRNA) molecules are approximately 80 nucleotides in length. Their secondary structure includes four short double-helical elements and three loops (D, anti-codon, and T loops). Further hydrogen bonds mediate the characteristic L-shaped molecular structure. tRNAs have two regions of fundamental functional importance: the anti-codon, which is responsible for specific mRNA codon recognition, and the 3' end, to which the tRNAs corresponding amino acid is attached (by aminoacyl-tRNA synthetases). tRNAs cope with the degeneracy of the genetic code in two manners: having more than one tRNA (with a specific anti-codon) for a particular amino acid; and 'wobble' base-pairing, i.e. permitting non-standard base-pairing at the 3rd anti-codon position.
Source: RNAcentral
CCCCCGGUGGCUAAUGGAAACCGGCACACCUACCUGCCUUAGAAGCAGGGCUCUUGCGAGUUCGAAUCUCGCCUGGGGGACCA